This 1299-nucleotide long non-coding RNA is filed under the name Homo sapiens (human). RNAcentral's name for it is "HSALNT0301805". Lineage: Eukaryota; Metazoa; Chordata; Mammalia; Primates; Hominidae. The record is from RNAcentral.
AAGUGAGAUGGAAGCCACGUGCCUUGCCAGGAGCUUACUAACGUAAUGUGGCACCCGCCAGCCUAUUCUGCAGACAUAAUGGAAGAGAGUGUUUCCACUGCUCAUUCCACAGGCAAGCCACAGAUCCUGGCCACUCCUUGCCUUGGAGGCAGUACAGACACAUUCAUAGGGUUUGGCUCCUUUCCCUUGAGUUCUGCACCUUAAACUAAAGAAGUCAGUCACGCGAGGCUGGCUUGCUGGAACCGGCUAGAAAAUGCAGCCCUGCCUGCCGCAGGGAUCUCCUCCGGUAUGGCCACACAUAUGAGUUCUGGCAAUGCCCAUUAGUGAUAUGGCCGAUAGUUUCUUCUGUCUUGCUUCCAGGAACCUUUUCUUGGUUUGAAGCCACCGAACCAGAAGAGAGAAUUUUUACCACUUUGAGGACUUCUUGUGACGAAUCCAAUGGGAAUUCCAUAAUAUUCAGAAACAAAACAUUUUGAGGGCCAACAAAUUAUUAAGCCCUUUGCUAGGUCUUAGAGAUACAAAGAUAAAGAAGACUGGAGUUUUCUUUUUAUUAUCUACCAGACUGAAGGCCACUGCCUGGGGACUUGAUCUAAGAGAAGAAAUAUCAGGAGACCUGGGUUUGGCUCCUGGCUCUGCCAGGUGAUCAUGGAGCAGUCACGUAUUAUCCCUGAGCUUCCGUUUCCUCAUCUACUUAAUUAGUGAUGGGUCUACAGGGCCUUGCUGGGGUCCACUUCUGACAUUCUGUGUUGAUAGUUGUCCGGAAAAGGAAGAGGAUGACACUGAUGACCAGCCGUCUUGGGUGGUUCACAGGCUCACUAAGGAGGCAGUGUUGAGCCUGACGGAUCUGUGAAGGCCCCUCCGACUUGUAACUGUAAAAUGAUGACUCUUGAUGGAACUCUACAGUUGUUGACACCUGGUGGGCCACCUACAGCUGAAGGUUCAAAGUGAUAAAACAAACCUGGUACGGAAAUAACUGAUUGUGGAACGCGAAGGACCUGUGAUCAUGCAAAGGUGACAGAGCAGACACUGAUAGUAGAACUGUGGAGAAGUAUCCCUGGAGAUGACCCACAAUCUCAAGAAGGCUGAAGAGGAGAGGAAGAGAAUGGAUAAAUCGAAACAAGUGUUUAGAUGAUCAAGGCCUUAUAAGCCAUAGUAAGUUUAACAGUAAAUAAUACAUAGAGGGAAAUUUCUUCCUCUGAGUCAUAUGUGUUUAUCAGUUUUCUAUAGAUGUUGAUUGCUUUUGCCAUAUAUAAAAUUUUAUGCUUUUAUGAGACUUUUCUUAAAAAUAUCUCUUGGUCG